GCCAUUAUGAGAAGAUAUUGUCAACUGGGAUUCCUUUUCCCAUAAGAAAACAAAAUUCUGAUUAUAGAGCAUCAACACUUUGAUCAGCAAGAUAAUUAUAGUCGUAAUUCUUUCGAGCGUUUGUUGGGAGAAGAAACUAAAAAUCUAUGGUCCCAAGUUAUCCUUCUUCCAAAACAAAAACACAGGCACAAAGAACUCUGUUGUACAAUAAUACGAACGCUUGGCCAAUAAAUAUUAAUUACAACAACAUACUACUAUGAUAAUUGCAAACGCGUUUCUCAUGACUUUAUAAAAUUUCUAAUCGUUAACAGACUUCAUCCUCCAACUAACGUGAUCUCCAAAGCCCUGUCCACGAAUCCUGCUUUAUUCGAACGUAUCCACGUUUCUUUCAGCCGUUCGACAUCGUUUCGACGAAGACGUACGGUCACAUAAAGAAGUAUAGCUGGCAAGGGCAGGGGAGUAAAAGCGACUAUAAAACGAAGAGGACAGGGAAGAUCGAUGAGCCUUCGCGGCUCCGCGUUACACAGGUGCACUACGUGCACAGGUGAACUGUGGUGAUUCUACGAAAGCACGUGCACGAUACUAAACAGAUGAGAGAGGUACAUAGAGGGACGAGAAGAGAUACGAGGCCCAGAUAGAAGUGGCGCGUGCGCCUAUGCAUCCGGCUUAAGAAAACUUCAGACACGUCGAUUCAGUGGGAAAAACGCGAGGUCUUUAUGUAACCGGUUCGGACACGAGAAGUUUAAGAAGCUCCCGUAUCCGAACGAUACGAAUAAAAGCGUGUAGGGUCUAAUGGUGUCAGAUGGUGUCUUUCGCCGUGUGUCCUGAAAAGGCGAGCAACACACGUGUUCCACGCGGGUACGACGACGAGCGUUUUGUAAUUUUGUUAAUCGUUCGUGCGAGCCAUAGCGAUUAAGUAAUGAUGGAAAGCCCGGUUGCAACGAGCAAGCCGAGCGAGCGCUACGAUUUUUGUUAGAUGCGCCUCGAUAGGCAUCUUCUGGCUGGAAUCGGUGGCCUUCGCGAUUCUUCGAUAGUUUCGGGUUUCGUGUGAGAUGUUUCUCUUUUCGAUUGGGAUAUUAGCGAUUUACCUUGCGGUAUAUUAUUCUGAAAAUCUGAAGUACAUAAGUAUGUGAAAUUGGGUCAAUCUAUUUUCUACAGGCAAGACAUUCGGUGGAUUAUUUGAGCCAUUCAAAAGAUAAGUUCAUUAAAUUAUAAAUGUUAAUUACAUCUUGCCAAAAAAAGCUGUAUUCCGGAUGUAAAUUUACUACAAUUUAUUUCUAUAUUUUUAAUAAGUUCACAAAGGCAAUAAAUCUAUUAUUUUUUGCCAGGUUUAGCAGACCUACUGUAAAUUUUACCAGAAUAGCUUAUAAUUUCCUACAAAUCGAACAAUUAACCUUGACAAAGUCAGCCAGUUCAGCUUCUGUGCGUGUCCCAUUUACUAAAUAUAUACUCUAUACUACCAUCGAAAUACAUAAAAUUUAAUGAAAUCCAUCCAUGAUUUCAUAACUACCAAACACUUGCCGUAACCAACCAAGCGUGCCUAUACUGAUGAAUGGGGGUGUAAAUAAGAGAGAUUAAAACCAUCAUGUUCUCACCAAAGAAACACUAUCACAGAAGAGAUAAAUACUAAAAGAUCGUUGAAAGCAACAUUCGAGGAUGCCAAUCGGCGCGUAAACACGAUCGAGAGUGAUCAGGCAGUUUUUCACGCGAGAUCGUUGGAUUUAUCGAUGAUCGGCGAGCGUCGACGAGGACGCGGUUGCAACGUUUGACGUUAAUCGAUGGAAACUUUAUAGCCAGGCGAUAUAUUAGCGGAGAAGGCAGGUGUUGGUGUCGAUCGGUCGGCGAAACCGUGUGGUAGCGGUUCGCCGGCAAAAAUUCCAGAGGUCCGGGACCGGUUCCUCCCAAAAAAUUGGCGCCGAGCGGACCAUGUUUCGGGUCAAAGAACGACCUUGCCUCUCCGUGCCCCGUUCGUCGCUCGUGUGUGUUCCCCACGUACUUUUUCGCGUCCUCGUGCCCCACCGCCGCGAUACAUCGUGGUUUCGCAUCGCCACCUCGACGCCAGUGGCGUAAUAUUACACGAUCGUUCGAAAUAAAAGGAAGAAGAGAAAAAAAGCAACAUACCAGAGAAAACACGAAAACAGAAAUAGUUAAUCGCUGGAAUCCGGUGGCGCUUGGAAGUUUACAGAAUCUCGAAUUUCUCCCGAUUUUCUGUACGAUUGCCCGGAGCAUUGUAUUUAUUAUCGCCAAGAUCAGAAACAAGCGUAAAAUAGUGACUACUGUUUUGCAGAAACUGCAUAUGUUCUUAUAAAAAGUAUCGAUGGCAUAUGUAAUAAUGAAUGUUUUAAUAUUGUUGUUUAUCGUGUAUAUGAAUAAAGGUGUAACUUGCGACGAUAGUAUUAUAUAGAAAGUGAUAAUUCAAUUUUAAAUGCGACUAUUUAAAUUGUCGCGACUUAUAUUAAUAGGCGUGUGAAAUUGGAAAUUGGUCAAAUAUUUCACUAACCAAAUGGUUACUGGGAAAUAGUCGCCUGAAAUUUGUACAGCGUUACAGCGUGAAGUAGGUUUCUCAUAGCGGAGCCUAUAGAAGCUUAUAUAGAUUCAGAGAGUCAGCACGAACAAUGAACGUGUGCACGGCGUCUGCAUCUGUUCGAGAAAGUGCAAGCGUUUUGUAAUCUCGCGUAAUUUUACGAGGACAGAGGCUCGCGGCUGAUGCGAUUCGACUUGCUGGCCAUCUGUCUACGCGGCGAGAUUUUGUUAUAGCGAGUGUUUUACGCGGUCCCUUGCGCCAUAGUAAUACCGUGAAAAAUCGUGAUAUUAAGGUUAUUCAGUCCGAGUAAUUAAUCAUACUUUGAACGUACGAAUAUUGCACUUAAAACGAGACUGAUUGCCCAAGAAUAGAAUAAUUAAUGUACUCCCAGGGCGAUUAUUUAGUACCUUUCGUCGCUACCGAUCACCGUUAAACGUAAGACAUCGUCAAACAAAACGAACGUUUCGGGCGACAAUAAGGAAACUCGAUCGCAUCGAUACACGUGCUCUUUAGUUGCCAUUGUAACGAGAUACAAACAAUCGAAGGAGCUUUUUUUCGUUACCGCGUUACGCCAGUGGCUGAUACACUUAUUGAGUACGCGAUCGGUGGCGUGCAACCGCGCAUGCGCAUGAUCGCCGCAAAGUUGCGCACAAGCGAACGCGCGAACCGCGCACAACAAGGCAAUUGUGCAACUCGCCACUCGACGAUAGGGGGACAAGGGGGCGAAGAGCGCCGAUCGGUGGCGCGGCCGCCAAAAGUGAAAUCGAGAGGUGGAACACAGGACGAAACGGAGGGGAAUCGCCGGCAGCUGUUAAAUGAAAACAUAGGAUUAAGGGUAAACCAGGAGCUAGAGAGAGGCGAGCCAUUAUGCAUGAUCGAGAUCGCGGAUAUCUUGCCAAUUUUGCUCUCUUUCGAUGUACUAUUGCUCACCAGAUAUUUGAACAAGAAGUAUUUGAACGCUUAUCAUAACGAGAAUUUAAGUAUACAAUGUAUGUAUUAUAUAAGACAUUUUGAAACUUCAUUAGUGCUAGUAAUAAAUCACGUCUAUCGUGACUAUAUUGGUAGAGUUUAAAUCCAAUUUGAAAAUGUACACAGGAGAUACAAACUAAGAAAAUGAUGAAACAGUGGCUAUAAAAAGUAUUAACACAUUACUGUAUUUAUUAUAUAGCAUUUACAUACUAAUUAGUCGGAUUCAAGUAUAUUAAAUUUCGUAUCAUGUAGUAGCACUUUCAUAUGGUUACAAAAACUUGCUACUAUGAAAAUCAAAUAAAUAACCUGAUAAGAAGACGUCUCAUUGAAAAUUAAGGAUAUGUGGCAAUACUUUUUGGAGCCACUGUAUAUAAUGCACUUGACUAGCAGCAUAUUUACAGUCUUUAUUACAGUCAGAUAGUCAGUUGACCGUUUUCAUUUAACCUUCGUAUUUUUCAUGAUGCUGUUUUUUUUAAAUAACAAAGGAGAUCUUACUAAGUAAUAAAACAGUUAACCAUCUGGCGAUUCGUUGCGCAACUACGUAUGGAGAUACUUUGGCUAUCGAAACAGAAACAACGCGAACGAUUGACAUUAUCGACGCUUAGAAUCGCAGAGAAUGGUUCGAGUUGCUAAAGGACCACCCAUGCAAGAGGUAUACGUAUACAAAAAUUACGCUCAUGCGGGCACUGCCUAACGAUUCGACCGCGAUAUUUUGCGUAAUUUAUUUCGCGGUUUCUUGCAUUGGAAGAAAUCCACUUUUCUCUUAUUUACAGUUUUAACUUGCAAUUUAUAUGUGUCUUUUCACCACGUGUACAGAUUAUAGCGGAUAACAAAGUUUCUGUCACUGUGAAUACUUGUACUGAUCCUCGCGUAUUUCAUUUCUCAUCGCACACAGUUUUUACGCAAUUGUCCUCUUUAUUACUUAAUAAUUACUGAAUUUAUAGUUAUUUCGUUAUUAUCUACAAAACAUAGGACAAACUCGGGUUCCUAUAAAGAUUUGAAGUGUAAUCUGUCUUUGAAAAUCCACUUCCUGAAUUUCAUUUCAUUUAAAUUUUCUUUUUAAAUCUGGUUACUAUAACUUUCACUCUAUAUUUGCCUCUACCCAUAUGAUGCGCAAUUUUAUAAGGAUAUUUCAAACGUUACUAAAAAAAUCUUGCCUCAUAGAAGCAAACGUAUUACAUAUUUGACUGUGGCAUAAGAAAUGCAAUUAAUUCACACAUUAAUGCGACCCUAGACUAGCGUUAUGGGAUCAGAAUGUUAGGAAGACAUUAAUUCGCAUUGUUUCCAGGAUUUCCAUUAUGCAAAGCGUCCAUCGGUGCAAUUUUGUGCGGCAUUCCUUGACACGAAUGCGCAUGGAAACGCACGCGUGCGCGCCGCACAGAGAGUACGAUAAAUUUUUAGAUAGACUUUAAUCGCGCCGUUGCGUUGACUGGAUACGCGGUGAAAUAUCGCCGUUACGUGCGACUCGUCGUAAUUAAAUACAUAAUAAUUCCUUGGACGUUGAGAGGAUCGACGAUUACCGUGGUUGGUGCGCACGCUGAUUCCUCGAGCGUACAUAAGCGGAAUGCAUCGAUCGAUUCAAAGUGGAGUCUGACUUCGCCUCGACGCGGUGUGUGCACCGUUAUGGCAACUACGGCUGUCAUUCGUCCGAGUCUCGACCGAAUCAAGAAUCGCUUUGCGUGGAAACUAUUGUUUCCAGUUGAGAAAUAGCAAAUCUCGUCCAACUUGGUUAGCACAAGUGGCAGCUGCUAGCCCUAUGUUUGGUUCUAUCGACAAUUACUUGUACUUUUUAUUUGGUUUGAAGCCUCCAAGAUUAAUUCACUCUAUUAGAAUGGGAUUACUUUAGUAGACUGUAAUUUUUCUCAUUAUUGUAAUUGAAGGACUGAAGGAAAAAGGUAUGUGU
This is a long non-coding RNA of Bombus huntii, 5396 nucleotides long. RefSeq lists it as uncharacterized. NCBI's taxonomy places the organism in Eukaryota, Metazoa, Arthropoda, Insecta, Hymenoptera, Apidae. The transcript is spliced from 3 exons. The record is from RefSeq and is a predicted model, not a curated record.